CAAAAAGCAGGGUUCCGUUGCCUCUUAAGAACGGAUCUCUCGUAAACUUCAGGGAAAUCACUGCAUUGUUUUUGGGUGAACCUCUGGACUUACAAGUGCCAAAAGGUUCAGUUAAUGAUGGAACAUUU
This is a non-coding RNA of Thalictrum thalictroides, 128 nucleotides long. Lineage: Eukaryota; Viridiplantae; Streptophyta; Magnoliopsida; Ranunculales; Ranunculaceae. The record is from the annotation of a GenBank genome assembly.